UACGAAGGGGGCUAGCGUUGCUCGGAAUCACUGGGCGUAAAGCGCACGUAGGCGGAUUGUUAAGUCAGGGGUGAAAUCCUGGAGCUCAACUCCAGAACUGCCUUUGAUACUGGCGAUCUUGAGUUCGGGAGAGGUGAGUGGAACUGCGAGUGUAGAGGUGAAAUUCGUAGAUAUUCGCAAGAACACCAGUGGCGAAGGCGGCUCACUGGCCCGAUACUGACGCUGAGGUGCGAAAGCGUGGGGAGCAAACAGG
Molecule: ribosomal RNA, 253 nt
Filed under: uncultured bacterium
Lineage: Bacteria
Description: partial 16S ribosomal RNA
Rfam family: Bacterial small subunit ribosomal RNA
Source: RNAcentral